Molecule: long non-coding RNA, 1265 nt
Filed under: Cyanistes caeruleus (blue tit)
Lineage: Eukaryota; Metazoa; Chordata; Aves; Passeriformes; Paridae
Description: lncRNA (ENSCCEG00000014651.1)
Source: RNAcentral
CAAACUGAAAAAGAUAAGCAGCAGUGGGUAAUCUCAUAUUUCUAUCCUGCAUCUGUAUUCGACUUCCACAAGAAGUGGAAGAAGUCUCUCAAGAAAUCAAUUCACUUUACAUCAUACAGUUCUCUUGAAACUCAACUCCUCAAACUGAGUUCUUUGAAAUAGUUCAGUGGCAUAAAUGUUGAAUGUUUAAGUUCUGUUUUAAUUCAUAGCUGCUAUUAUAGUGCAAACUGGAUUUAUUAACAGACUAAUAUUUCUUGUGCAGCUUCUGCCUUUCUUCCAAGAACUGAUUAUGUGCAUAUGUGCAAGACUUUCUUAGAAAACCCUUAGAUAAGGGUUUAAAGGAAUCUCCUGUUCUUUUCAGGAAACAAAAGUGUCAUUUUAGCUUUGUUAGCACAGUCUCACCAGAUAAAGAAGAAAUCAUUAUCUUCACAACCAUCCCAAGAGAAACCCAUUUCUCACAGGAUUCGGCAUGCAAAGCCUCCAGCUUUGACCAAGGCACUCAUCAUCAGUAAAAGGGAUGAGGAGCUGGAGCCGGAUUUUCAGAGGGAAGGAGCUGCUUUCCCCUCUGAGCUGUGGAGACUUCCCCAGCUUCCAUGGCAGGGCAAUUACAGAGGCAAAGGAUGGAUGCACAAGUGCAGGCUCUGAGAAACGUCAUUUGAAGUGAAACCUCGGUAAUAAGAGUCGUAGAGUUUGUACUCCAUGGAUAACUUGAUUAUUUUGCUCGUGAGACUCUUUGAAAAAACAUCACCCAGAAGUGAUUUUUAUGAGAAAUUUUAUGAUGCUAACUUUGUGAUGUUGGAGUGAAAAUAGCUUUGCUAUGUUGACUUACAGUGAUGCAGUCUUUCUGGAAGCAUGACACUUUAGGAAGACUUGAAAUUGUCUGAGGCUUAUUGGUGUUACUUCAAUUGCAUUUGGAAUUCAUUUAAUAUUCUUGAGGGGAUCAUGGAGUGAGAGAAAUGAGGUCCUAAAAGGUUUUUUUACCACAAUCUGUUGGACUAGAAACCCAUUUCACAUUUUCAAAGAAAUGUUUAUUCUCCCACUGGCCUUUGAAUUGGGUACUAUUGAAUUGGCUUUAUGGAAAACAUUAAAUUAAAUGUUUAGGAAUUGUUUUGAAAUCUGAUUCAACAACAGCGGCAUUAUCAUGAGAUUAGGAAAUAGUUUAGCUGUGUUUUAUAAGUGUUUGCAACCACUGACACAAAUAUUCAUGCACUCCAUCUGAAGAAGAACAGAGAAAGAGACAUGAAUAAAAUACAGUGACAGAAACA